GCGGCGGCUACAAUGCAGUCGAGCGCGGGAAGCGAGCGGAUCCCCUUCGGGGGUGAAGCUCGUGGAACGAGCGGCGGACGGGUGAGUACACGUGGGCAACCUACCUGUAGGAUCGGAAUAACCCCGGGAAACCGGGGCUAAUGCCGGGUAAUACUUUUCUUCUCAUGAAUGAAAGUUGAGAGAUGGCCUCUGGCUAUCACUUAGGAUGGGCCCGCGGCGCAUUACCUAGUUGGUGAGGUAACGGCUCAUGAGGCAACGAUGCGUACCCGACCUGAGAGGGUGAUCGGCCACUCUGGGACUGAGACACGGUGCAGACUCCUACGGGAGGCAGCAAUACGGAAUCUUCCGCAGUGGACGAAAGUCUGACGGAUCAACGCCGCGUGAACAAUGAAGGUCUUCAGAUCGGAUAGUUCUGUUGUUACGGAAGAACAAGUGCCGUGCCAAUAAAAAGGCACCUUGACGGUACCUGACGAGGAACCCCCGGCUAACUACGUGGCAGCCGCCGCGGUAAUACAUAGGGGGCAAGCGUUGUCCGGAAUUAUUGGCCGUACAGCGGGCGCAGGCGGUUCCUUAAGUCGGAUGUGAAAUCCCACGGCUCAACCGUGGAGGGUCAUUGAAAACUGGAGAACUUGAGGACAAAAGAGGAAAGUGGAAUUCCACGUGUAGAGGUGAAAUGGCUAGAUAUGUGUAGGAACAUGACUGUGACACGCAACUCUCUGGUCUGUUUCUGACGCUGAGGUGCGAAAGCGUGGGUAGCAAACAGGAUUACGAUACCCUGGUAGUCCACGGCGCAAACGAUGAGUGCUAGGUGUUAUGGGGCUUACACCUCUUAGUGCUGAAGUUAACGCAUUAAGCACUCCGACUGGGAGAGUAUUGACCGCAAGGCUGAAACUCAAUGGAAUCGACUGGGUGCACUUCACAAGCAGCUGCGAGCAUGUUGUUUUCUAUUCCGUAGGCAUCGCUGAGAUCUGUGACCAGGUCUUGACGAUCGCUUGCACCGACCCUAAAAUUCAGGGUCUUCCCUGUCUGGGACCAAGUGACUGUGGUGACAUGUUGUCUAACUCUCGUAGUCGAGAGAUGCUCGUGGUCAGUACCUGCACCGACUGCAGCCGUAACUUAAGUGCAAUCGUCGAGUACACCCUCAAGGGUACUGCCAGGUGGACAAGCCGGAUGAGGCCCGUAUGGAGCAUCCAUCAUGCCUUUAGCUGCUACGCGUGCUACCGGACGGUAACAAGCGUCAGCAAUGUGCGCUGCGAG
RNAcentral lists this ribosomal RNA (1257 nucleotides) under Halobacillus trueperi. RNAcentral describes it as "bacterial SSU rRNA". It matches the Rfam family "Bacterial small subunit ribosomal RNA", at positions 39 to 1271 of the family's 1533-position model. Lineage: Bacteria; Bacillati; Bacillota; Bacilli; Caryophanales; Bacillaceae. The record is from RNAcentral.